CUACUGGGGUAUCUAAUCCUGUUUGCUCCCCACGCUUUCGCACCUCAGCGUCAGUUGUGGUCCAGUGAGCCGCCUUCGCCACUGGUGUUCCUGCGAAUAUCUACGAAUUUCACCUCUACACUCGCAAUUCCACUCACCUCUACCACACUCAAGAUACCCAGUAUCAAAGGCAGUUCCGGGGUUGAGCCCCGGGAUUUCACCCCUGACUUAAAUAUCCGCCUACGUGCGCUUUACGCCCAGUAAUUCCGAACAACGCUAGCCCCCUUCGUAUUACCGCGGCUGCUGGCAC
Molecule: ribosomal RNA, 289 nt
Filed under: uncultured Aureimonas sp.
Lineage: Bacteria; Pseudomonadati; Pseudomonadota; Alphaproteobacteria; Hyphomicrobiales; Aurantimonadaceae
Description: partial 16S ribosomal RNA
Source: RNAcentral